Molecule: long non-coding RNA, 322 nt
Filed under: Gossypium barbadense (sea-island cotton)
Lineage: Eukaryota; Viridiplantae; Streptophyta; Magnoliopsida; Malvales; Malvaceae
Description: long non-coding RNA (GBAR_LNC010332)
Source: RNAcentral
AUGGCUAUAAUGUAUACAAAGUCGAAAUAUCAUUCUACCUAUAGUCUAUCCUAUACAUGCCUUAAACCAUGAUGAUAUACAAUCUUCUCAACUCACAUAAUGACUCGAUAGUGUGAUGAUAUCUCCGGCUCUUCCAACUCGAAUUAAAGGAUAAACCUAUAAGAAAUGGAAAAGAGAACACGGAGUAAGCUUCAAUGCUUAGUAAAUUUUAAGCAAUGCAAACAAUUAAUUUACUUAUAGAUCGAUUAUUUCAAAUUUUCAAGAAAUCAUUCCUAGGUAAUUGCCAUUUUGGCCAAGUAUCCAUGAACAUAAUGCAUAUUUA